CGGAAUAACUGGGCGUAAAGGGCACGCAGGCGGUGACUUAAGUGAGGUGUGAAAGCCCCGGGCUUAACCUGGGAAUUGCAUUUCAUACUGGGUCGCUAGAGUACUUUAGGGAGGGGUAGAAUUCCACGUGUAGCGGUGAAAUGCGUAGAGAUGUGGAGGAAUACCGAAGGCGAAGGCAGCCCCUUGGGAAUGUACUGACGCUCAUGUGCGAAAGCGUGGGGAGCAAACAGGAUUAGAUACCCUGGUAGUCCACGCUGUAAACGAUGUCGAUUUGGGGGUUGAACUUUAGGUUUGGCGCCCGUAGCUAACGUGAUAAAUCGACCGCCUGGGGAGUACGGCCGCAAGGUUAAAACUCAAAUGAAUUGACGGGGGCCCGCACAAGCGGUGGAGCAUGUGGUUUAAUUCGAUGCAACGCGAAGAACCUUACCUACUCUUGACAUCCAGAGAACAUUC
This 453-nucleotide ribosomal RNA is filed under the name uncultured bacterium. RNAcentral's name for it is "bacterial SSU rRNA". It matches the Rfam family "Bacterial small subunit ribosomal RNA", at positions 546 to 1000 of the family's 1533-position model. The record is from RNAcentral.